RNAcentral lists this unclassified non-coding RNA (584 nucleotides) under Hevea brasiliensis (rubber tree). The record is from RNAcentral. Lineage: Eukaryota; Viridiplantae; Streptophyta; Magnoliopsida; Malpighiales; Euphorbiaceae.
UGGGUAUUUAGAAUAGCAAAUGAAAUAAGAGUACUUAUUAGUCCUCUUUUCUGCUUUUUGUUCCCCUACCAAAAGUCUCCAACAAUGGCCGAGGCCCCUUCAGUCCCUGCACCAACCGGGUCGGAUCCUGAUUACUGGUGCUACCAGUGUGAGACACGAGUUGCCGUCGAAACCCUACCCGAUCUCCCCGCCGAUGUCAUUUGUAACAACUGUAAGAGUGGCUUCGUCGAGUCCAUACCCUCACGUGUUGUAUCUGUCUCACCGGUGACGGCGUCUACUGAUCAGAUCGAUGACCCUGCUUUCGGCAAUCAGUUCAUCCAGGUUCUCCGCCUCAUAGCUGAGGCGGCGCUUGACAACGACGCGCCCCCUCCCCCGCCUUCUGAGCACGCUGAUCCUUCCGAUGACGAUUUCCUCCGUGUCGAGCUGGACGGUUGGGGAAACGACGAAGAGGAGGAGGAGGAUGAUGAUGAAGAGGAGGAGGAGGAGGAUGAUAAUGGAAUCGGGGUUAGAAUUGGCGAUGACAGAGAAAAUCGCGGGAAUCGAAGCCAAUCUGAGGAUGACGAUGAUGAUGAUGUUGAUGAUGA